RNAcentral lists this ribosomal RNA (403 nucleotides) under uncultured bacterium. RNAcentral's name for it is "partial 16S ribosomal RNA". It matches the Rfam family "Bacterial small subunit ribosomal RNA", at positions 30 to 526 of the family's 1533-position model. The record is from RNAcentral.
AUUGAACGCUGGCGGCAGGCCUAACACAUGCAAGUCGAGCGAGCGGCGGACGGGUGAGUAAUGUAUGGGGACUGCCCGAUAGAGGGGGAUAAAUACUGGAAACGGUAGCUAAUACCCCAUACUAUCGGAUAACCCAUAUGGGAUUAGCUAGUGGGUGAGUUAAUGGCUCACCUAGGCGACGAUCCCUAGCUGGUCUGAGAGGAUGAUCAGCCACACUGGAACGGAGACACGGCCCAGACUCCUACGGAGGCAGCAGUGGGGAAUAUUGCACAAUGGGCGCAAGCCUGAUGCAGCCAUGCCGCGUGUAUGAAGAAGGCCUUAGGGUUGUAAAGUACUUUCAGUGAGGAGGCGUUACCGGCAGAAGAAGCACCGGCUAACUCCGUGCCAGCAGCCGCGGUAAUUC